This 532-nucleotide ribosomal RNA is filed under the name uncultured Plectosphaerellaceae. RNAcentral describes it as "SSU rRNA". It matches the Rfam family "Eukaryotic small subunit ribosomal RNA", at positions 218 to 755 of the family's 1831-position model. Lineage: Eukaryota; Fungi; Ascomycota; Sordariomycetes; Glomerellales; Plectosphaerellaceae. The record is from RNAcentral.
AAAACCAACGCGGUUCGCCGCUCCUUGGUGAUUCAUAAUAACUUCUCGAAUCGCACGGCCCCGCGCCGGCGAUGGUUCAUUCAAAUUUCUUCCCUAUCAACUUUCGAUGCUACGGUAUUGUCCUAGCAUGGUUGCAACGGGUGACGGAGGGUUAGGGCUCGACCCCGGAGAAGGAGCCUGAGAAACGGCUACUACAUCCAAGGAAGGCAGCAGGCGCGCAAAUUACCCAAUCCCGACUCGGGGAGGUAGUGACGAUAAAUACCGAUACAGGGCUCUUUUGGGUCCUGUAAUUGGAAUGAGUACAAUUCAAAUCCCUUAACGAGGAACAAUUGGAGGGCAAGUCUGGUGCCAGCAGCCGCGGUAAUUCCAGCUCCAAUAGCGUAUAUUAAGUUGUUGCAGUUAAAAAGCUCGUAGUUGAACCUUGGGCCUGGCUGGCCGGUCCGCCUCACCGCGUGCACUGGUUCGGCCGGGCCUUUCCCUCUGGGGAGCCCUAUGCCCUUCACUGGGUGUAGUGGGGAACCAGGACUUUUAC